RNAcentral lists this transfer RNA (75 nucleotides) under Bacteroides sp. RNAcentral describes it as "tRNA-Glu". It matches the Rfam family "tRNA". Rfam says of the family: Transfer RNA (tRNA) molecules are approximately 80 nucleotides in length. The record is from RNAcentral. Lineage: Bacteria; Pseudomonadati; Bacteroidota; Bacteroidia; Bacteroidales; Bacteroidaceae.
GGUCCGUUCGUAUAUCGGUUAGUACUCAAGAUUUUCAUUCUUGCAAGGGGGGUUCGAUUCCCCCACGGACUACCA